UUGAGAAGUUAAACAAUUUGGUCCAGUGAUUCGGUGAAGCACCUGAAAAUAGUGGUUGCAAAGAAGUGGGAAAUUCACAAAAAUCCAUCGAAAAGCAAACGAAUGGAGGAUAGAAGUUCGAUUUUUAUCCGUCAAGUUAGGUUUUGGCGGAUACCAAAGGGCUUGUAGCAUAGCGAUAUAAAGGUGUCUAGUAAAGGCGUUCACAUGGUUUUAAAAAAACGUUUGAGGCGUGCGCCUCAAGGCGCGCCUCGAGACGAAACGACCAAAAAACGAAUCUGAGGCGCGCCUCAUGGUGUUUUUAAUGUAUAUGCGCCUCAGGUAAAUGCCUGAACCAAAGUUCGUUGGUGUCUAUGAGGAUGAUAACGUGGUCCUAGAGUAAAAUGGUAACAAUGUCAAGAAAGCAGGGAUCCAUUCAACACUAGCUUCACUCCUUGAUGAAAACAGUUCCAAUGCCCGAUGCCCAAUAUGUUAUUUUUUGGAUUUGGUUCAUUUGUUCAUCAGUAAUAUGAAUUCUCCUCUUCCUGAUAAUGAAUUUGGAGUCAUCUGAUUUUGAAAAUGUGAUUCUCAUGUAGGCGGAUACCAAAGGGCUUGUAGCGUAGCGAUAUAAAGUUGUCUAGUAAAGGCGUUCAAAGUGGUUGAGGAUUCUAGUCCCUUGGUGGACGUUGGUGUAGAUCUAGGAGCAGUGGCGGAACUAGCCCCAAAAGUUAGGGGUAUCCUAAUUUUUUUUUAGCAUCAGGGGUAUCCUUUAUAUGAUGGAAACGGAGUUGAGGAGUAUUUUACACUACGGAAAUGGAGUUAAAGGGGUAUUUUUACACUACGGAGACGGGGUUGAGGGGUAGCCCGUGCUAUCCCUACUAACACUCUAAAAACAUGAGGUAAAUGCCUGAACCAACGUCCGUUGGUGUCUAUGAGGAUGAUAACGUGGUCCUAGAGUAAAAUGGUAACACUGUCAAGAAAGCAGGGCUCAAUUCAACACUAGCUUCACUCCUCGAUGAUCAUGUGCUUGCAGAUAAAGAAACCAACUCUAUCAGAUGUUGACACCCUGAUCAGCUUGGAACUUGGGAGUGCACAUCUUUUGAUGUUGCUGUGAUGAUUUCUGCUACAGUUAAGGAUUUGAAACUAGCUGUCGAGAAAAAAGUCAAUGAAAUAGAGCAGUCAAAGAUGGGCCAUCGCCAUAUUUCUUGAUGUUGCUGUGAUGAAUUCUGCAACAGUCAAGGAUUUGAAAAUUGCUGUUGAGAAAAAAAGUCAAUGAAAUGAAGCAGUCAAAGAUGGGUCAUCGCCAUAUUUCUUGGUAUUUCUCUUUGUUUUCUGUUACCUAGUUGCUUUUUCGUCCGUGCUUGCGUCAUUCUUGAUCAAGCUUAGACAUUUGCAACGGUGGUACGGGCAGUUCGGGUAUUGGGUCAAAAUAGGUCACCUUUAUAUGUGUGUCAUAACUGGUUGGUUUGGUUUCGUAUUUAGGUUAUUUUGUAUGAUUAAUCUGUUUGACC
Molecule: long non-coding RNA, 1487 nt
Filed under: Helianthus annuus (common sunflower)
Lineage: Eukaryota; Viridiplantae; Streptophyta; Magnoliopsida; Asterales; Asteraceae
Source: RNAcentral